UACGUAGGGUGCAAGCGUUGUCCGGAAUUAUUGGGCGUAAAGAGCUCGUAGGCGGUCUGUUGCGUCGGCUGUGAAAACCCGGGGCUCAACUCCGGGCCUGCAGCCGAUACGGGCAGACUAGAGUUCGGCAGGGGAGACUGGAAUUCCUGGUGUAGCGGUGAAAUGCGCAGAUAUCAGGAGGAACACCGGUGGUGAAGGCGGGUCUCUGGGCCGAUACUGACGCUGAGGAGCGAAAGCGUGGGGAGCGAACAGG
This 253-nucleotide ribosomal RNA is filed under the name uncultured bacterium. Its description in RNAcentral is "partial 16S ribosomal RNA". It matches the Rfam family "Bacterial small subunit ribosomal RNA", at positions 524 to 776 of the family's 1533-position model. The record is from RNAcentral.